UGGUCAAGGCAUCAUUAUUCA
Molecule: non-coding RNA, 21 nt
Filed under: Caenorhabditis elegans
Lineage: Eukaryota; Metazoa; Nematoda; Chromadorea; Rhabditida; Rhabditidae
Source: RNAcentral